RNAcentral lists this ribosomal RNA (397 nucleotides) under uncultured bacterium. Its description in RNAcentral is "bacterial SSU rRNA". It matches the Rfam family "Bacterial small subunit ribosomal RNA", at positions 358 to 772 of the family's 1533-position model. The record is from RNAcentral.
GGAAUAUUGGACAAUGGGGGGAACCCUGAUCCAGCCAUGCCGCGUGAGUGAAGAAGGCCUUAGGGUUGUAAAGCUCUUUCACCGGUGAAGAUAAUGACGGUAGCCGGAGAAGAAGCCCCGGCUAACUCCGUGCCAGCAGCCGCGGUAAUACGGAGGGGGCUAGCGUUGUUCGGAAUGACUGGGCGUAAAGCGCACGUAGGCGGCUUAUCAAGUCAGGGGUGAAAUCCCGGGGCUCAACCCCGGAACUGCCUUUGAGACUGAUAGGCUCGAGUUCGGGAGAGGUAAGUGGAACUCCGAGUGUAGAGGUGAAAUUCGUAGAUAUUCGGAAGAACACCAGUGGCGAAGGCGGCUCACUGGCUCGAUACUGACGCUGAGGUGCGAAAGUGUGGGGAGCAAA